This is a long non-coding RNA of Lactuca sativa (garden lettuce), 4097 nucleotides long. RefSeq lists it as uncharacterized. The record is from RefSeq and is a predicted model, not a curated record. NCBI's taxonomy places the organism in Eukaryota, Viridiplantae, Streptophyta, Magnoliopsida, Asterales, Asteraceae.
UUCGCCUGUUCUCUUCACCGCUUUUCCACCCAAUCACUUUUCGAUUGCUGGCAUUUUUUUCAAUCUUUAUUUCGACGAAUUUGCUUUUCUUGCUCUGUUUCGAUCUAUCGUUACAUUCAUUUUCUUCCUUCUCCGUUUCCUCUUCUAAUUGCAGGUGAGAAUUUUUCACUAUCUUUCAAGAACCAUUGAUGUUUGUACUCUAAAUUGAUGGUGCACGUUCACGAUUGUUGUGGUUGUCGGGUUCGGUGGUGUCACCGCCAUCAGAUCCAACAUCCUCUACAUUUCGCUUCUUCAUUUUAUCCCUUCUUAAUCGUUGGUGUCAGAUCUGAUUUUUGCCUCUUCGAUUUUACCUCAACUGAAAAACCCUUCGUUCGCCUUCCAACUGAAUUUUCCUCUUUAUUGUUGAUAUUCUUGAAGAUUGUGUUUGGGUUUCUUCUCCAUGCCUAAAUGUAGCAAGCAUAGUUUGUUUCAAUAUGGAGAAUUGUCACCUGGGAGUGUUGCACCUAAAUCAGGGAAGGCUCGCCGACAGUACGUAUGUUGGAAUUGAGUUCUGAUUCACAAAUUACUUUGAAUGCUCUUAGUGUAUGUUGGAAUUGAGUUCCGAUUCACAAAGUAUUAUUGGUCAUAAUUUAGAAACAUCAAAUAAUCAAACAAUUUGAUCUUUUGAGCUUAGUGAUAAUAAGUUGGUUAAAGGGUACAAAUUUGGCUUUUGUAAAAGCCAUGCUUAAUACAAGAAAUUAGAAGUUUCAUAUUUGUGAUUACUAAAGUAAUCGAAGUAUGUUGCUUGGAACAAAUCUAUGUUCAUUUUUUUUUAACCUAUAGAUAUGGGAUUUUUUUUUUGAGAAGCUGUAACUGUUCACAAACAUGUCCAUUUUUAUUUUAUAUAUUAAUGUCCUGUUACAACAUCAUAUUUUCAACUUUUUCUUCAUUUGAAACUUUAUGCUUUUUAGCAAUCGGUUUGGUCCAACAUUCCUUUUCCAACUUUGGUCACAGGUAACCAAUCCAAAAGAAAAAAAAAAUCUUAUGAAUGAAUAAAGUAGACUUGGUGGAGAAAAAAAAGAUUUAUUCAAGGUUGUUGAGCAGUGUAGAGAUCUUCCUGGAUAUGAACUGUAUGUUACCCUUUUUGUGUAAUAAGUUUCUUUUCGUCCCUGUUUUGCCCCUGAAUUUACAUUUAUUUGCCCUUUUGUUCCUGUAGGCGUUUCAUGAUUUAUGGACUUAAGGGUUCUAGUGUAAAAGAUCUCAUAUAAUAUUUUAUGAAACAGGGAAUCUUUCAAUAAUUUUCAUGUUUAAUGCUAUUUUUCGUAUUGUUUUGCUGCUAAUAAUUUUGUGUUUUUGUCGGUGUAUGCAAGUUUUUUAUAUUAGCCAAGUUAAAACACCAUGGGAUGAAGUGGUUAGAGAAAAGUUUCCACACCGUACACAUCAGAUUUGAGAACUUGUGAAGCUAGCAUUCCUGGGAUUACUCAUCCAACCAAUGUGUGUGAGCAUGUUGAUUUCAACUGGAUUUGCAAGUGUGUAUGUGUGUGUCGAUUUCAACAACCACCUUCGAAAAUCAAUCAACAACAGAUCUUUGAAAUCAAUCUGUUGAUCCUCUGAUUUCAGAUGAACAAAAUCCAUUUUAUUGGCCUCAAACAGUCUAAUACAUCAAGCAGUGUAAGUAGGUUAUUGCAAGGUAUUUGAUUUGGAUGAUGAACCAAUAUCCCAGUUUGCAAAUCAAUAAAUGAACGAAACAAGUAUGUGAUCUAUUUUACCUUACGAAGACGAAGGGUGUAUGUGUCUCGCUUGUGUCGUACUCUUUGUUGCUUCCCUCAGGAAAUCCUAAACCCACUCACUUUCUUCAUUCGAUUUCAGGUAGAAAUCAAAGAGUUGGACCGCUAUUCUUGUAUGUGUCUUACCUCUCCCCCUCGAGGAAUUGAAUUUUAGGUCUGAUAUACCAUUGAAGAACAAACGAGUGCUUUUAGUUGUUUGUAAUUUUGAUUACAGGUGAUGGUGUUAGCUAUUACGAUGAUGGUGGGGUGAAGAUGGUGAUAUGGGGAUCUCGAUGAAUAGUAGAGAAGAAGAUAGUAUCUGUAAUGGAGGUGCAGUGUGAACUCGAUGGUGAUGUGGAGAAGAUGGAACCCAAACCAUGAUUUCUGAUCAUGGUGUUGGUGGUUGAUUUGUGGUGGCUGGACGAAGAGAUGGUGGUGAGGAGUUGGGUUUUGAAGAAAACGAGAGUGUUGAAGAAGAUGAUGGUGGAUUGAAUCUUUGGAGAGAGAGAGAGAGAGACCCUUCUUAUUUUCUUAAUUAUUAAAACAAAUAAAUUAGUAUUAGAUUUAAAAAGAAAUUAAAGAAAAAUGGAAAAUAAAUACCCCAAGGGUAUUACAGUCAUUUCACUAUUUGGAAGGACAAAAAACACAACCAAACUAAUUCAAAAGGACCACCAAUCCAAAAAAAUCAUGGUUUAGACUAAAACCUAAAAAAAAUGCAUGACAUUUUUGCAAUUUUGUCUUGAGAUUAUUAUAUAUGGUAUAAAUUAAAGUAAAAAAUUAUACACAAACAUUUAGAAGCUACAUACACAUUACACACGGUGGCAACGACACCAAAAGGCGGUGCCCCCACUUCUACCCCGAGCCACAGCAAUUUCUUCAUCGAUGUAAAACCAUAUAAAGAAGGGAUUCUUUGUGGUUGGUUCAGUCUCAUCGUUUCCUUUAAUGUUUAUUUCAAACGGGUUGAAAGGUCCCACCUUUAUCCGAAUAAGCUCAAAUACAAAUGCAAGUAUUCUCUUUUUCCAUGAAAAUCUGCCUUCAAAUGUUAGGCACCCCAGAGGACCCAGGUACACACCGUUCUCGAUCCUCCUUGCCUAAAUAUUAGUAGUAUAAAAUUUUACCCAUGUUGUCAAACAAUUAUCAUCUAUUAAUACAAUCACGAAUUUGCUUUUCAAGUAAUUGGUUAGUAAGAGUUAUUGAUAUGAAUUAGGAAUUGUGUGUUGAUGUAAUUGUUUUGGAAUAUGAACGAAAUAUUUUUUUCCUCCACUUCUCAAUAUCAAUUAAUGCUUGCUUAAUCUCAUUAGAAAAAAAGAAAUAAGUUCAGGAUGCUUACAGCUGCAUCAAAUCUCUGGACAGCAGUAAUGGGGAAGUAUUUGCCACUUUUCAAUCCUUUCUGUAGAUAAAAAUAGUAUUAAGCACCCAUUAGAGUCAUCAAACAAGGAUACAAAAAACAGCAAAAUGCAUAAUACAUAUGAACUACAAAGGAUCAGUGGUUAACGUCAGCUGUAAAUAUAAGCAUCCAAGUUCUUCCAGGGGAUUCUGAUCCUCCAAGAGUCUCACAAAACUGUGAAGGAUCGAGUUUAGCCUUCUCCAUCCAUUUCAAAGCAGACAGAAUCUCAGUAGCUUCAACCUUUCUAGUCUUUGCAGCUUUCUUCAGUACUUUUAUGCUCUCCUCAACUUCCUGAACAAGACUUACCAUUAUAACUCACUCACUCGUAUCAAACACAAGCAAUGAUCAUCAUUAAAAAAAAAAAAAACAAUAUUUCAUACAUACCCAGAUUUGAUUACAACCAAGAAAUGCAUUUCAACCGAUUACUUUCCCAAUUCAAAAAAAUUUAAGCAUUUUGGUGGACAAAUAAUACAAGCAUGUCUAUAACUGACUUGUAUUGUUUAUUAGGGUGUAGCAUCUGUUUUCAUGAAUGACCACAAUCAUGAUGUUUUAAAUUAGAUUUAUGAACAAAUCUCGAAUGGGUGUUUAAUGAAUAAAGUAAUGCAGAAAUCCCCAAAAGAAAUGUACUCCCUCCUUCUGAGUUUGACUGUGAAAUCUCAUCGAAAGAGACUAGCGUAUGUCUAAAAUGGCAUAAUCACCCUAGUGUUAGCAUUUGCAUACCCUUAAUCUUGCCGAAUUUCAUAAAGGGGGGAGUGUGUACCUUACUGGGUGUUGGCUGUAAACCAACUUCAUCUUCUUCUUCGACAAUAACAGGGUAAGGGGAUUUCUGCUCUUUCUCAUCAAUGGUGGCUUUGAUCUUUGUUAUGGAUGAUCUGAAAAUGGGGAAUUGGGUCGGGUUGUAAAGGAGAGGGCGAUUGGGUGGUCGCAGAAAGAGGUGAGCCGAACUAGAAAUCACCACACAUGGG